AGAGUUUGAUCCUGGCUCAGGACGAACGCUGGCGGCGUGCUUAACACAUGCAAGUCGAACGCACAUUUCGGGGCUUGCUCCGGAGUGUGAGUGGCGAACGGGUGCGUAACACGUGAGGAACUUGUCCUUCGGCGGGGGAUAGCCGGCCCAACGGCCGGGUAAUACCGCGUACGACCUUUGGGGCACCUGCCCUGGGGGUGAAAGCAGCAAUGCGCCGAUGGAGGGCCUCGCGGCCUAUCAGCUUGUUGGUGAGGUAACGGCUCACCAAGGCAACGACGGGUAGCUGGUCCGAGAGGAUGGCCAGCCACAUUGGGACUGAGACACGGCCCAGACUCCUACGGGAGGCAGCAGUGGGGAAUCUUGCGCAAUGGGCGAAAGCCUGACGCAGCGACGCCGCGUGCGGGAUGACGGCCUUCGGGUUGUAAACCGCUGUCGGGAGGGACGAACACCAU
Molecule: ribosomal RNA, 452 nt
Filed under: uncultured bacterium
Lineage: Bacteria
Description: bacterial SSU rRNA
Rfam family: Bacterial small subunit ribosomal RNA
Source: RNAcentral